This 200-nucleotide unclassified non-coding RNA is filed under the name soil metagenome. Its description in RNAcentral is "partial contains internal transcribed spacer 2 and large subunit ribosomal RNA". The record is from RNAcentral.
UACCUGUUCGAGCGUCAUUACACCCCUCAAAGAUGAAUCUUUGACGUUGGGCAAUGCCUAAAGGCAUGCCUCAAAAUCAGCGAUGGUGAUAUCCAACCACGGGCGCACAAAUGUCGUCUAGCUUGGAGGGAUGUUGCCAGUCAAUUGAUGAAUUUCUAGACGUUGACCUCGGAUCAGGUAGGAGUACCCGCUGAACUUAA